UCUUAUGUGGUUGUCAUCGCGCAUGUUGCGGUUUAGUCUCUAGGAUCGAGAUCAUGGUGAUCUGGACUGUGUUUUUCCCAUGUAUAUAAGAUGACGUAAACACCAGCAGUAUCACCUAUGCAUUGAAUGCAGGAGCUCAGGUCAUACCAACCUGGCUAAAGCUUUUGUUUAUUACAUUCUUGUAAUAAAAGUCCACCCGCCUCACACCCCAGUGGAUUUGUGGUUCUUGUCACUACAAUAACUACAUCCUGACGCUGCUACAUAGAGUUCGUGGAACACCACAGGGACAAAACAACACAAACCACACAUGGUUUACGGGUCAUGACACCACUUCCGGAACCUGGGUGUGGCCAGAUCAUAGUCAAAACAAGAGCAAGUGACUGCCAGCCAGAGUGCAUCUCCAACAAAAUCUAUUGUUUGAACUCCUUACAACUAUAUGCUUCAAAACUUUAUCUGCUCGUCUCAAAGACCACCAUCAAGUGGUUACAGGAUGCAAAAUCCACAAACGUGUACUGAUCAUGGGCGGAUCCAGGAAUUUUGAAAGGUGUGUGUGUGUAUGUGUGUGUGUGUGUGUUUCGAACCCCCCCUCCGGAUCCACCAAUGCUGAUACAAUCCAACAGAUUGACUUGUUUACAUCUGGACA
Long non-coding RNA from Haliotis rubra (blacklip abalone), 643 nucleotides. RefSeq lists it as uncharacterized. The record is from RefSeq and is a predicted model, not a curated record. NCBI's taxonomy places the organism in Eukaryota, Metazoa, Mollusca, Gastropoda, Lepetellida, Haliotidae. The transcript is spliced from 3 exons.